AGUGAACGCUGGCGGCGUGCCUAACACAUGCAAGUCGAACGACGAAGUCCUUCGGGAUGGAAUAGUGGCGCACGGGUGAGUAAUAUAUAGUUAAUGUGCCCCAAAGGCCGGGAUAGCCACUGGAAACGGUGAUUAAUACUGGAUACACCUUUGUAAUAUAAGUUAUAAAGGGAAAUGAAUUUCGCUUUGGGAUCAGACUAUAUCCUAUCAGCUAGUUGGUGAGGUAACGGCUCACCAAGGCAAUGACGGGUAGCGGGUUUGAGAGGAUGAUCCGCCACACUGGUACUGAGACACGGACCAGACUCCUACGGGAGGCAGCAGUGGGGAAUAUUGCACAAUGGGGGAAACCCUGAUGCAGCAACGCCGCGUGGAGGAUGACGCAUUUCGGUGUGUAAACUCCUUUUAUAUGUCAAGAAAAUGACGGUAGCAUAUGAAUAAGCACCGGCUAACUCCGUGCCAGCAGCCGCCGUAA
RNAcentral lists this ribosomal RNA (472 nucleotides) under uncultured bacterium. Its description in RNAcentral is "partial 16S ribosomal RNA". It matches the Rfam family "Bacterial small subunit ribosomal RNA", at positions 29 to 523 of the family's 1533-position model. The record is from RNAcentral.